CAGCAGCCACGGUAAUACGAAGGGUGCAAGCGUUAAUCGGAAUUACUGGGCGUAAAGCGUGCGUAGGCGGUGAGUUAAGUCUGCUGUGAAAUCCCCGGGCUCAACCUGGGAAUGGCAGUGGAUACUGGCUCGCUAGAGUGUGUCAGAGGAUGGUGGAAUUCCCGGUGUAGCGGUGAAAUGCGUAGAGAUCGGGAGGAACAUCAGUGGCGAAGGCGGCCAUCUGGGACAACACUGACGCUGAGGCACGAAAGCGUGGGGAGCAAACGGGAUUAGAUACCCCCGUAGUCCCUGUCUCUUAUAC
Molecule: ribosomal RNA, 301 nt
Filed under: uncultured bacterium
Lineage: Bacteria
Description: partial 16S ribosomal RNA
Rfam family: Bacterial small subunit ribosomal RNA
Source: RNAcentral